CCGUGCUAGAUGGGGAGUUAGCGGCACCCUAUAACCUGCAAUCCGCUAUAGCAGGGUUGAAUUCCCGUUGGAGGCUUCUCUAUUGUAGGGUCUGCCCCAGACAAGUGGUGUUGACGAUUGGGUCCUACGCAACGGAAACUCAUGAACCCCGUCAGGUCCGGAAGGAAGCAGCGGUAAGUGAAUCUUUUCGUGUGCCGUAGGGGCGCCUGGUUCGAGCAAACUAUCUGGGUAACGCUUGGAGUAGGGAUGUCGAUAACGGGUGCACGG
RNAcentral lists this signal recognition particle RNA (267 nucleotides) under human gut metagenome. Its description in RNAcentral is "Bacterial large signal recognition particle RNA". It matches the Rfam family "Bacterial large signal recognition particle RNA". Rfam says of the family: The signal recognition particle (SRP) is a universally conserved ribonucleoprotein involved in the co-translational targeting of proteins to membranes. Archaeal SRP consists of a 7S RNA and homologues of the eukaryotic SRP19 and SRP54 proteins. In most bacteria, the SRP consists of a 4.5S RNA and the Ffh protein (a homologue of the eukaryotic SRP54 protein). The record is from RNAcentral.